RNAcentral lists this RNase P RNA (385 nucleotides) under Alkalicoccus saliphilus. RNAcentral describes it as "RNase P RNA component class B". It matches the Rfam family "Bacterial RNase P class B". Rfam says of the family: Ribonuclease P (RNase P) is a ubiquitous endoribonuclease, found in archaea, bacteria and eukarya as well as chloroplasts and mitochondria. Its best characterised activity is the generation of mature 5'-ends of tRNAs by cleaving the 5'-leader elements of precursor-tRNAs. The record is from RNAcentral. Lineage: Bacteria; Bacillati; Bacillota; Bacilli; Caryophanales; Bacillaceae.
GUAUUCGGGUAAUCGCUGUGCAUUCCAUUGCAUAGAGGAAAGUCCAUGCUCGCACAGCCUGAGAUGGCUGUAGUGAUCGCGCCUGACGAAAAAAUAAGUCAGGGCAGCCGGAGACGGCUGACGGCGGAAGGUAUGCCUGCCUCCAUCUUCGAUGGAAACGGCAUAAACUUCUUUAAAGUGCCACAGUGACGGAGCUUUUCCGGAAACGGAAAAGGUGGAACGAGGUAAACCCCGCGAGCGAGAAACCCAAAAUCAGGUAGGGGCACUCCUGGAAAGGAAUUCAACAGACCAGGAGACAGGCACAGCCUGUAGACAGAUGAUUGCCGCUUUUGUACGAGGGUGACUCCCGUUUGCAGUACGAAGUAACAGAACAUGGCUUACGGAA